UCGAUGGAGAGAAGGAGGAGUGACAAUUCCGCGCCCUGACGAAAUAGGGCGUUAAAAGAUGUAGGUAUAUUUUCUAUAGGCAAAUCCGUAGAGAAUGCUGAAGUCCAACAGUACCAGGAGGCUCCGGCCGAAUGGAUAGAGAAUGUAAGCAGACUUCCGAGAAAAUCUUCUAAGCAUAUUGAUACGGUACCCGUACCGCAAACCGACACAGGUAGUCAAGGAGAGAAUCCUGAGGUGCUCGAGUGAGUCAUGGCUAAGGAACUAGGCAAAUUAAACCUGUAACUUCGGGAAAAGGGUUGCCUCUCUUUAGCAAUAAAGAAGGUCGCAGAGAAAUGGCCCAGGCGACUGUUUAACAAAAACACAUGGCUAUGCGAAAUCGUAAGAUGAAGUAUAUGGCCUGACACCUGCCCGGUGCUGGAAGGUUAAGGGGGGAAGUUAGUCGCAAGGCGAAGCUUUGAACUGAAGCCCCAGUAAACGGCGGCCGUAACUAUAACGGUCCUAAGGUAGCGAAAUUCCUUGUCGGGUAAGUUCCGACCUCACGAAUGGCGUAACGACUUCUCAACUGUCUCAACCAUAGACUCGGCGAAAUUGCACUACGAGUAAAGAUGCUCGUUACGCGCGGCAGGACGAAAAGACCCCGGGACCUUCACUACAACUUGGUAUUGGAGUUCGUUACGGUUUGUGUAGGAUAGGUGGGAGACUGUGAAGCUCACACGCCAGUGUGGGUGGAGUCAUUGUUGAAAUACCACUCUGAUCGUAUUGGGCUUCUAACUUCGAACCGUAUAUCCGGUUCAGGGACAGUGCCUGGUGGGUAGUUUAACUGGGGCGGUUGCCUCCUAAAAUGUAACGGAGGCGCCCAAAGGUUCCCUCAACCUGGACGGCAAUCAGGUGUUGAGUGUAAGUGCACAAGGGAGCUUGACUGCGAGACGUACAUGUCGAGCAGGGACGAAAGUCGGGACUAGUGAUCCGGCACCCCCGAGUGGAAGGGGUGUCGCUCAACGGAUAAAAGGUACCCCGGGGAUAACAGGCUGAUCUUCCCCAAGAGUCCAUAUCGACGGGAUGGUUUGGCACCUCGAUGUCGGCUCGUCGCAUCCUGGGGCUGGAGCAGGUCCCAAGGGUUGGGCUGUUCGCCCAUUAAAGCGGCACGCGAGCUGGGUUUAGAACGUCGUGAGACAGUUCGGUCUCUAUCCGCCGCGCGCGUCAGAAGCUUGAGGAAACCUGUCCCUAGUACGAGAGGACCGGGACGGACGAACCUCUGGUCUACCAGUUGUCCCACCAGGGGCACUGCUGGAUAGCUACGUUCGGACAGGAUAACCGCUGC
This 1321-nucleotide ribosomal RNA is filed under the name metagenome. Its description in RNAcentral is "bacterial LSU rRNA". It matches the Rfam family "Bacterial large subunit ribosomal RNA", at positions 1461 to 2774 of the family's 2925-position model. The record is from RNAcentral.